CAGGGAGACAAUAAAUUGAUUGUGAUGUCUAAGUUAUUUAUUCUUAGGCCGCAAUCCUGUCACCUUAAGGUCGAUCGGUACCUCAGAUUUUUGAAUUAGUUUUAUAAUUGAUUCUUUGAUUUCAGUUCCUAAACUUGUCUAGGUCACACCCAACAAAGGUUUCUCCUGGGCCAUUAGCUCAGGUGGUUAGAGCGCACCCCUGAUAAGGGUGAGGUCCCUGGUUCAAGUCCAGGAUGGCCCAUUCGUUGUUGGGGGUAUAGCUCAGUUGGUAGAGCGCCUGCUUUGCAAGCAGGAUGUCAGCGGUUCGAGUCCGCUUACCUCCACUGAAAACUAUCCUGAUAACUAAAUUCUGGAGAAAAAUUGUAGAUGUGGCUUAGAAUUGUCUAUUUGAAUAGAACCUAACUUCUUGUCAUCUUUUUAUAGUUGAUAACCAUGCUGGGCUCGCAUGGAUUAUUUCCAUGAGAAUUCAGUAGAACCUUGAAAACUGCAUAGAUUUAGAAAGAAUAAAGCAUCUCAUGGAUGCAUAAUUCUGAUUUUAUAAUUUAGCCUUAAAACUAAAUUAUUUAAUUCUAGAAUUCAUGUUUAAUUCUUGAGUAGAAGCCGAGCACAAUUGAUUUUGUGAUUGUAUUUAA
RNAcentral lists this transfer RNA (632 nucleotides) under uncultured cyanobacterium. RNAcentral's name for it is "16S-23S ribosomal RNA intergenic spacer". The stretch from base 251 to 323 matches the Rfam family "tRNA". The record is from RNAcentral. Lineage: Bacteria; Bacillati; Cyanobacteriota.